UACGUAGGGUGCAAGCGUUGUCCGGAAUUAUUGGGCGUAAAGAGCUCGUAGGCGGUCUGUUGCGUCGGCUGUGAAAACCCGAGGCUCAACCUCGGGCCUGCAGCCGAUACGGGCAGACUAGAGUUCGGCAGGGGAGACUGGAAUUCCUGGUGUAGCGGUGAAAUGCGCAGAUAUCAGGAGGGAACACCGGUGGGCGAAGGCGGGUC
Molecule: ribosomal RNA, 206 nt
Filed under: uncultured bacterium
Lineage: Bacteria
Description: partial 16S ribosomal RNA
Rfam family: Bacterial small subunit ribosomal RNA
Source: RNAcentral